GAUGAAGAACGUAGCGAAAUGCGAUAAGUAAUGUGAAUUGCAGAAUUCAGUGAAUCAUCGAAUCUUUGAACGCACCUUGCGCCCUUUGGCCAUUCCGAAGGGCAUGCCUGUUUGAGUAUCAUGAACACCUCAACUCUUUAUGGUUUUCCAUGAUGAGCUUGGACUCUGGGGGUUUUGCUGGCUCACAGUCGGCUCCUCUAAAAUGAAUCAGCUUACCAGUGUUUGGUGGGUAUCAUGGGUGUGAUAUCUAUCUACGCUUGUGGUUUUUCCACCAGGUAACCUUCAGCAGUGGAGGUUCGCUGGAGCUCAUAGAUGUCUCUCCUCAGUGAGGACAGCCCUUUGAAUGUUUGAUCUCAAAUCAGGUAGGACUACCCGCUGAACUUAAGCAUAUCAAUAAGCGGAGGA
RNAcentral lists this unclassified non-coding RNA (405 nucleotides) under soil metagenome. RNAcentral's name for it is "partial contains 5.8S ribosomal RNA, internal transcribed spacer 2, and large subunit ribosomal RNA". The stretch from base 1 to 121 matches the Rfam family "5.8S ribosomal RNA", at positions 35 to 154 of the family's 154-position model. The record is from RNAcentral.